Non-coding RNA from Nipponia nippon (crested ibis), 512 nucleotides. Lineage: Eukaryota; Metazoa; Chordata; Aves; Pelecaniformes; Threskiornithidae. The record is from RefSeq and is a predicted model, not a curated record.
GCAAAAAUGCAGAAGUACCGGCUGGUCUAGUCCUAAGAGCCAAGAGGAGCGAGCGAGAGCAGCAGAAAGGAGAGCAGCCACGCUCCCGUAGCGAGGGGAACAUACAAACAGCGGCAGCGCCGUAAUUAAGCCACCGCCGCCCCGAGGCAGCCCCGACCCACCCUGGAUGCGGAGGACCCCCGAGCCACCCCGCUGCCUUUCCCCUGAGGGAUGGUACUGAAUUUCUGCGCGGCAGGAGCCGGCCUGCAGCUCCUCUCCAUCAGCGUUGCCUUCCCUCCGUGUCUAAAGUGCACUAGACCGCGAUGAGGACCUGGGCUUGCGUUUUGCUGAUAGGUUUUGGCUACCUGUCCUUUACCUUCUCCGAGGUAGGUGAGAGCGGCUUUCUGCGUUCUCGACCUCUCCGUCUCUCAGCGGAGAAGAAUUUCCAUAAGUUGAGAGAGAAUAAACCCGGCACCUUUGAUGUGCCCAAGGGAAACGUGCAUCUCUCUGAAGAGCAAAAUGGAGAAAAAUGA